This 253-nucleotide ribosomal RNA is filed under the name uncultured bacterium. RNAcentral describes it as "partial 16S ribosomal RNA". It matches the Rfam family "Bacterial small subunit ribosomal RNA", at positions 524 to 776 of the family's 1533-position model. The record is from RNAcentral.
UACGGGGGGUGCGAUCGUUGUCCGGAAUCACUGGGCGUAAAGGGCGCGUAGGUGGUUUGAUACGUGUGUGGUGAAAGCCCGGGGCUCAACCCCGGGUCUGCCGUGCCGACUGUCAAACUCGAGGGCUGUAGAGGCAGACGGAAUUCCGGGUGUAGCGGUGGAAUGCGUAGAGAUCCGGAGGAAGACCGGUGGCGAAGGCGGUCUGCUGGGCAGUUUCUGACACUGAGGCGCGACAGCGUGGGGAGCAAACAGG